Long non-coding RNA from Callithrix jacchus (white-tufted-ear marmoset), 1374 nucleotides. RefSeq lists it as uncharacterized. Lineage: Eukaryota; Metazoa; Chordata; Mammalia; Primates; Cebidae. The record is from RefSeq and is a predicted model, not a curated record.
UAAUAAUGUAUAUAAAAAGGAAGGCAAUAAUACUUGCUCAGUAAAUGUAUCUAUUAUUACAAAAAAUAAAAAACGUGUUGCACGCUUACUAUAUAUAAGGUGUACAGAGUGCUAAACUCCGGAAUUGGGUAAGGAAGAUGCAAUGAGGAAGAUAUCAUCCCUGUCGUCCUCAAGCUCAAAACCGGAACUCAAAGCAAACAGUGAUUAAGAGUUGUAAGAGAUACAGACAACUGGGAGCACAAGGAGAAGACUGGAAGGGACAGAGCUGAGAUCUGGGCUAGGCCUUGGACAUUGACAAGAGCCUUGGUUCACAGCUAUGAUGAGAGAAAACUUUGCAGAAGCAAGAAUUCAUGCGAAAUCUCAGAGAAAGGCUGCAGAAUAACAGAAGCAAUAGCUAACACUUAUAUGGAGCACUUCUUAUAAGGCAGGCGCUGAGCAAAAUGUUUCGUAUCGUCUCAUCUAAUCCUCUGAACUGCGUGAGAUGAGACUCUGGAGAGGGGCUCUCGGUGCCACGGCUGCCACUGGGGAGGAGUAGAAUAACCAUGGACUCGUGUACACACACGUUUUCACAUGAAGAGGGAGAUGUGGACCCAAGUGAACACAGACAGCUGUGGCCAGGCCAUGCACUCUUAGACACAGACAGAUGUACCAGCUACAUACCCACCACCGAGCGCACCACGAAUAUCUGAGCCUGGGAAGUUUAUAAAGAAAAGAGACUUAUUGGCUCACAAUUCUGGUGGCUUAAGAAGUUCAAGAUUGGGCAUCUGCAUCUGGUAAGGGCAUCUGGUUACUUCAAGUCACUGCAGAAAGUGGAAGCAAAGCCAGCAUGUGCAAAGAGAUCAUCACAUGGUAAGAAAACUCACUCAACCCCCACCCACAGCAUUAUGCAUGAGAGAUCCGCUUCCAUGACCCAAACACCUACCACGAGUUCCCACCUCCAACACUGGAGACCAAAUUUCAACAUGAGGUAUGGAAGAGACAAAUAUCCAAACCAUAGCAGGUAUCUUAGGUAGAAAUGUUAACAUCUGGAGCCCUUGCUGAAUCUAUACUUCAAAGUCUACACAUGAAGCAACUUUCAGCUCUUGGCAUACUUUGAUGCUAUGAGUAGGAAAUAGCUAAUGAGUAGCCUGAGAAGAUUGAAACUCCAUCCUGCUUGAGUCAAAAAAAUGCCCAGGGCAGCAGAAGCCAGCCUAGUUAGGCAGGGAUGUAAAUAUUAGCAUAGGCAUUACAUAAAACGUCUUUAAAAAAUAUGAAUAGCAUGGCCAAGAGGAAGAUGAAGGAUCCAAGAAGCCCAGCAGCAGCUGUGGCAUCAGAGGUAUCCAUCCUUACCUCACACCAUAUACACAAUGUAACCCAAAAUAAAACAUAGUCUUG